Molecule: ribosomal RNA, 552 nt
Filed under: Phialocephala fortinii
Lineage: Eukaryota; Fungi; Ascomycota; Leotiomycetes; Helotiales; Mollisiaceae
Description: eukaryotic LSU rRNA
Rfam family: 5.8S ribosomal RNA (bases 202-355)
Source: RNAcentral
CUCGUAGGUGACCUGCGGAGGUCAUUACAAGUGAGGCUACCGAACGUUGGAAACAGCGGUUAGGAGCUUACACCCACCCGUGUUUACAUACUAUUGUUGCUUUGGCGGGCCGUGGCCUCCACUACGGGCUCUGCUCGUGUGUGCCCGCCAGAGGACCAAACUCUGAAUGUUAGUGAUGUCUGAGUACUAUCUAAUAGUUAAAACUUUCAACAACGGAUCUCUUGGUUCUGGCAUCGAUGAAGAACGCAGCGAAAUGCGAUAAGUAAUGUGAAUUGCAGAAUUCAGUGAAUCAUCGAAUCUUUGAACGCACAUUGCGCCCUGUGGUAUUCCGCAGGGCAUGCCUGUUCGAGCGUCAUUUAACCACUCACGCCUAGCGUGGUAUUGGGGCACGCGGUCUCGCGGCCCUCAAAAUUAGUGGCGGCGCCGGUGGGCUCUAAGCGUAGUACAUACUCCCGCUAUAGAGUUCCCCCGGUGGCUCGCCAGAACCCCCAAUUUUUUACAGGUUGACCUCGGAUCAGGUAGGGAUACCCGCUGAACUUAAGCAUAUCAAAA